ACAUAGUGCUGCAGGGCGGUGUUACCAUGCAGUUGACGAGAAGAUUGGAGAGGAGCCUUCGGGUGAAUUUUUAAUUAGAAAGUAGCGAACGGGUGAGUAACGCGUGAAUAACCAACCCUCCACAGGGGGACAACAUCUGGAAACGGAUGCUAAUACCGCAUAAGACCACAGUACCGCAUGGUACAGGGGUAAAAGAUUUAUCGGUGGAGGACGGAUUCGCGUUCCAUUAGCUAGUAGGUAGGGUAAAGGCCUACCUAGGCAACGAUGGAUAGCCGAGCUGAGAGGCUGAUCGGCCACACUGGAACUGAGAUACGGUCCAGACUCCUACGGGAGGCAGCAGGGAAGAAUAUUGUACAAUGGGGGAAACCCUGAUACAGCAACGCCGCGUGAAGGAAGAAGGCCUUCGGGUUGUAAACUUCUGUGACGGGGGACGAACAAAAUGACGGUACCCCGAGAGGAAGCUCCGGCAAACUACGUGCCAGCAGCCGCGGUAAUACGUAGGGGGCAAGCGUUGUCCGGAAUCACUGGGCGUAAAGGGCGCGUAGGCGGCCUGUUAAGUUGAAUGUGAAAUCCCGGGGCUCAACCCCGGACGUGCAUUCAAAACUGGCGGGCUUGAGUAUGGUAGAGGCAAGUGGAAUUCCUAGUGUAGCGGUGGAAUGCGUAGAUAUUAGGAGGAACACCAGUGGCGAAGGCGACUUGCUGGGCCAAAACUGACGCUGAGGCGCGAAAGCGUGGGGAGCAAACAGGAUUAGAUACCCUGGUAGUCCACGCUGUAAACGAUGAAUACUAGGUGUAGGGGGGUAUCGACCCCCUCCUGUGCCGCAGCUAACGCACUAAAGUACAUAGUGCUGGGA
RNAcentral lists this ribosomal RNA (854 nucleotides) under uncultured Eubacteriales bacterium. Its description in RNAcentral is "bacterial SSU rRNA". It matches the Rfam family "Bacterial small subunit ribosomal RNA", at positions 29 to 878 of the family's 1533-position model. The record is from RNAcentral. Lineage: Bacteria; Bacillati; Bacillota; Clostridia; Eubacteriales.